CUCAUCCGAUCUUCACAAUAUCCUGGGUAGCCUUAUGUUGUGAGGUGGAAGUCUCUACUCUUCUGUGGCUGCUGUGGCCAAGACUUCCAAUACUGUGUUAGCAUCCUCGCCUUGUUCCUGAUGUUAAGCAGGAAGCUUUUCCCUGUUGAGCAUGAUGCUAGCUGUGCACUGGUCAUACGUGGCCUUACAUUUUGAGAUUUUAUUUAUUUAGUCGUGAGAGAGGCAGACACACAGGCAGAGGGAGAAGCAGGCUCCAAGCAGGGAGCCCAACAAGGGACUUGAUCCCAGGACCUCGACCCAGGCCACCUGCGUCUUCUUGAAUGGCAUUUUUAGUAAGCAAAGAAUGCUAGGUAGGCUCUUGUUAUCUAUCUGUGUAUCUAUCUAUCUAUCUAUCUAUCUAUCUAUCUAUCUAUCAUCUAUCUAUUUAUAUUUCAGUAUAGUGAAAGAUGAUGAAAUGAUUAUUCCUAAAAUUUCUAGUUAGAGGUCAGCUGUCAGGAUCUCUGAUUUGAAGUAAUCUUUCAAAGCAUGUUUUUUUCCUCUGGCUCUUUUAAAGACUUCAAUACAUACAUAACUUUUUUUCUUUUAAAUAAGUUCUGUUUACUUCUUUUAAAAAUGUUCGGCCCAAGUGUGGCAGGAUACAAAAUCAAUGCCCAGAAUUCAGUGGCAUUUCUGUACACUAACAAUGAGACU
Molecule: long non-coding RNA, 690 nt
Organism: Canis lupus familiaris (dog)
Lineage: Eukaryota; Metazoa; Chordata; Mammalia; Carnivora; Canidae
Exons: 3
Source: RefSeq, a predicted model, not a curated record